AAAUCAAAUAAUUAAGGAAAAAAGAAUUAAUGCCAAUGGCAUGCCAUUGUAAAUAAGUGUCAAGUAGAGGAUUUAUUUGCUAAAAUA
RNAcentral lists this small RNA (87 nucleotides) under Arabidopsis thaliana (thale cress). RNAcentral describes it as "ATSL092880". The record is from RNAcentral. Lineage: Eukaryota; Viridiplantae; Streptophyta; Magnoliopsida; Brassicales; Brassicaceae.